Long non-coding RNA from Sander lucioperca (pikeperch), 509 nucleotides. RefSeq lists it as uncharacterized. NCBI's taxonomy places the organism in Eukaryota, Metazoa, Chordata, Actinopteri, Perciformes, Percidae. The transcript is spliced from 5 exons. The record is from RefSeq and is a predicted model, not a curated record.
UCAGGUACAUGAGUAGAUCUAGAGUAGUAUUUGUACAAACUCUCUUUUAAUUAACAUAAGUCGUUGUACUAGGAUUUUUGAAUACAGAGCACUAAUAUCUGACCAUGGUUAUCUUUCAUAGGUAAAAGUCCCACGUCGACUUCUGAGAGUGUCCCACAGAGAAAAAGGAAACGAGUUAACGAGGUGGAUGAAGAUGGAGGUUCUGACCUCUUGUCCCCCAAAAGGAGACUGGAGCCCCUCAGUGAAGAUGGGAGUUCAGAUGUAGAUGAUCAGAGUCCAGGAAAAAGCUUGGUGAAGAGGCCCUCACAGAAGAAGAAAAGACGUAAAAAGUCCACGACAGUGGAAGCAAUGGAUGGAGUUUCUGACCUCUUGUCCCCCAAAAAGAGACUGGAUUCCUGCAGUGACGAGGGGAGUUUAAAUAUAGAUGAUCAGAGUCCAGGAAAAAGCUUGGUGAAGAGGCCCUCACAGAAGAAGAAAAGACGUAAAAAGUCUACGACAGUGGAAGCAAU